GUCAAUAAAUACACACCUGUGUGUGCCACUUGACUUUUCUGUCAUUAAUUGUGUUGUUUUUGCCUCAGAUUGGUGCUUGUCGUCCUCGCAGGGAAGCUGGAAGGUGUGCAGCGUGGUCACAGCCCGCAUGUAACUACACAGACAAAGACUGGAUGAGUCCCUCCAAGCUGACCUGCUGCACCAUGGACUGGAGCAUGUCGCCCAGGGUCUGCACCAGCUGGCAGAAGGAGGGUCGCUCGCUGGCCUCGGCAUCCCAGCAGGCCAGCAUUGUGCACUGUGCUGUACUCCGGCGCUCCCAUCCUGGUUCCUGCCUUCAGUCUGUGGCAGAAGUCCUCGUCGAUGUGGAGACCGGGGUAUGGGGACGCUCCUAGUGGACACCCGUGGCGUUAUAUGCACCGCCAGCACAGGACUCCCCGGGGAGUGAGCGCUCUUACCCAGAGAGAAGAUCUCCCAGAGGAGAACGCCAAAGGACCACACGUCACUUUGUGUGGUGAACACCUUGUCAAAGAUGGACUCUGGAGACAUCCACUUCAGAGGCAGGCGGGCCUGUCAGCCAAUCAGAGCACAGUGACAAGCUUGCUGGUCCAUGACGAUGAUUUCUGUUUUGUUUUAUCAACCGUUUUACUGCCGUGCUACAGACAUUGUUUUGAAAACAAUUAAGAGCACGAUGAGAUUAUUUGUAUUACCUUGCGAGAGGCCAGGAACUGCAUUCCUCUUGCCACCUGGAAGCUGAAGGAGAUGAGGUCCUCCAGAAACAAAGGAGGAGCGUUGGAGGGCCGAAUGUCAACUGAAGCAAAAAACACAUAAAUAUUCACAUUAAUAUUGUAAAUACACUAAAAAUACUUUUUUAUGUGACUAGUGUCGUGUCUUACCGUCUUUAAAGAGUAAUCUUAUCGUUGCAGUCUUUUCUCCAUUUAUUUGCAUCCCCUGAGAGGAAAAAAAAAAUAUUUACAUACGUUUCUUCUACAGAAUCCAGUAAGAAUCCAGUGAACAGUCACACAUUUCCUCUGAUUGCACUCAUGGAAGAAAUUUGAUUUCAAGUUUUUGAAAACAUUUAUUAUGUACAUUAUGACUUUCUAUCUUAAAUGCUACAUUACAAUUGUUAUUUUACAAAGUAAUUAAGGUUACUUGUUAGUAAUUAAAUUAUAAACAUAAUUACUCAUUCAUAAAUGUAUUUAACUAUGGAAAAUAAUGAAUGCAUUUAUGAACGUAUUUUUCAAAUCCUUUCAUUUGGGUUACAAAUGGACACUGCGCCUAAAUAACCCCUUGCGCCUAGUGUACGUAUCAAUUGAGGUUGUGCGAAGCAGAUUUUCCAUAGCGAUCACACAUAAGAGGUACAUGUGCACGGCAGGUUGACGCUUCUUCAAUAAAUGAUGCAAGCAAGCAAAACCAAAACUUUGAUGUGUCUUUGAGAAUAUAGAGCAUCAGAAAAUGUUUUAGUACAACUUUGGUAAGCUACGAUGCCGCACAGCUUAAUGGAACACAGAACAUUAUGUCUACCAAAGUCAGGCGUACUGUGCUUCAACAUACGGUAUUAUUAUGAAGUGUGUAUAAGGAACCCAAAAUGGCACCUAUCAGGAAAAAUCUUUUUUCAUAAUAUUAUGCAAAGCAAACUUUCCUUACUUAUUGGUACCUGUAUUUGGGAUCUGACUAAGUCUUAAAAAUUUGCAUGCGUCAGCCAUUGUCGUUAAUAAACUCCUCCUUUUUCUGUAUCCUCUUGUAGUCUAACCUACUCAGUGGCCUAGUGGUUAGAGUGUCUGCUCUGAGAUCGAUAGCUUGUGAGUUCAAACCCCGGCCGAGUCAUACCAAAGACUAUAAAAAUGGGACCCAUCACCUCCCUGCUUGAUACUCAGCAUCAAGGGUUGCAAUUGGGGGUUAAAUCACCAAAAAUGAUUCCCGGGCGCAGCCACCGCUG
This is a long non-coding RNA of Nerophis ophidion (straightnose pipefish), 1915 nucleotides long. RefSeq lists it as uncharacterized. The record is from RefSeq and is a predicted model, not a curated record. NCBI's taxonomy places the organism in Eukaryota, Metazoa, Chordata, Actinopteri, Syngnathiformes, Syngnathidae. The transcript has 5 exons.